This 329-nucleotide ribosomal RNA is filed under the name uncultured eukaryote. Its description in RNAcentral is "partial 18S ribosomal RNA". It matches the Rfam family "Eukaryotic small subunit ribosomal RNA", at positions 1470 to 1796 of the family's 1831-position model. The record is from RNAcentral.
CCCUUAGAUGUUCUGGGCCGCACGGGCGCUACACUGACGAUGGCAACGAGUUUUUCCUUCGCCGAAAGGUGUGGGUAAUCUUUUGAAACAUCGUCGUGCUGGGGAUAGAUCAUUGCAAUUUUUGAUCUUGAACGAGGAAUUCCUAGUAAGCGCGAGCCAUCAGCUCGCGUUGAUUACGUCCCUGCCCUUUGUACACACCGCCCGUCGCUACUACCGAUUGAAUGGUUUAGUGAGGACUCCUGAUUGGCGCCGCCGCCCCGGCAACGGAGCAGCGGACUGCCGAAAAGUUGUUCAAACUUGAUCAUUUAGAGGAAGUAAAAGUCGUAACA